RNAcentral lists this small nuclear RNA (122 nucleotides) under Castor canadensis (American beaver). Its description in RNAcentral is "U4 spliceosomal RNA (ENSCCNG00000020502.1)". It matches the Rfam family "U4 spliceosomal RNA", at positions 1 to 119 of the family's 138-position model. From Rfam's summary of the family: U4 small nuclear RNA (U4 snRNA) is a component of the major U2-dependent spliceosome. The structure of U4 snRNA from yeast and human has been reported. Lineage: Eukaryota; Metazoa; Chordata; Mammalia; Rodentia; Castoridae. The record is from RNAcentral.
AAUUUUGCACAGUGGCAGUAUCUUAGCCAAUGAGGUUUAUCUGAGGUGCAGUUAUUGCUAAUUGAAAAUUUUUCCCAAUACCCCACCAUGACGUCUUGAAAUAUAGUUGGCAUUGGCAAAUA